CAUUUCUAUUCUGCGGCUCAGACAAACCUGCUGUUAAGUUUACCCAGCUGACAAAUGAAGGAGGACAUGAAGCUAUACCUAUACUAGAGAAAGGGAUUAGCAUCUUUGGUGAAGUGAUAGCUCGGAGUUAUGUGGCUUGCAAUACAAAACGACAAGUGGGGCUUGUGGAUUGGGAAACAGAGGGAAAGGGGCGUCGCUUGUGGCGUGGCAGAGGAGACGGAUUAUGGGGUGGGCUGGCUUUAUCGCGAGACAGUCACAACGGGGAAAAGGAACAUACUGUUCAUGCUCCUCUCACCUCUUCCUUCUCUUCCUUUUAUUUAUUUUUUAUUUCAAUUAAUUAUAUUGAGUUAGGGUUUAAAUGGGUUAAUUCGAGAUGAAUGAUGUCUGAUGUUUCAAUGGCAGUGAUGUUAUCGUGAGUCUCCUGAGUAUUUGAUUUGUUCCAUUUGAUUGGACCGAAGGUUAUUUGAGAAUAAAAAAUAAGCAAGGGUCGAUGGUUAGUUUACAGUCACUAAUAAAUUUAGAGAGUAAAAUAUAAUUAAUUUUGUAAAAAAUUUAUUAACGUGCAUUAAUAUGAGCUUUUAUAAGG
This 586-nucleotide unclassified non-coding RNA is filed under the name Hevea brasiliensis (rubber tree). The record is from RNAcentral. Lineage: Eukaryota; Viridiplantae; Streptophyta; Magnoliopsida; Malpighiales; Euphorbiaceae.